GACGAACGCUGGCGGCGUGCCUAACACAUGCAAGUAGAACGCUGAUGGAGGAGCUUGCUUCUCUGGAUGAGUCGCGAACGGGUGAGUAACGCGUAGGUAACCUGCCUGGUAGCGGGGGAUCAUUAUAGGAAACGAUAGCUAAUACCGACUAAGAGUAGAUGUUGAAUGAACUAAGCACAAACGGUGCAAUUGCAUCACUACUAGAUGGACCUGAGUUGUAUUAGCUUGUUGGUGGGGUAACGGCUCACCAAGGCGAGGAUACAUAGACGACCUGAGAGGGUGAGCGGCCACGCUGGGACGGAGACUCGACCCGGACUCCUGCAAGAGGCAGCAGUAGGGAAUCUUCAGCGAUGGACGGAAGUGUGACCUAGCAACGCCGCGUGAGUGAAGAAUGUUUUCGGGUCGUAAAGCUCUGUUGUAAGAGAAGAACGUGUGUGAGUGUGGAAAGUUCACACUGUGACGGUAUCUAACCAGAAAGGGACGGCUAACUACGUG
RNAcentral lists this ribosomal RNA (495 nucleotides) under uncultured bacterium. Its description in RNAcentral is "partial 16S ribosomal RNA". It matches the Rfam family "Bacterial small subunit ribosomal RNA", at positions 28 to 507 of the family's 1533-position model. The record is from RNAcentral.